RNAcentral lists this ribosomal RNA (274 nucleotides) under uncultured bacterium. Its description in RNAcentral is "partial 16S ribosomal RNA". It matches the Rfam family "Bacterial small subunit ribosomal RNA", at positions 523 to 796 of the family's 1533-position model. The record is from RNAcentral.
AUACGGAGGGUGCAAGCGUUAUUCGGAAUCACUGGGCGUAAAGGACGCGUAGGCGGGUUGGCAGGUCAGAUGUGAAAUCCUACAGCUUAACUGUAGAACUGCAUUUGAAACUGCUAACCUAGAGUAUGGGAGGGGGAGAUGGAAUUAGUGGUGUAGGGGUAAAAUCCGUAGAUAUCACUAGGAAUACCGAAAGCGAAGGCGAUCUCCUGGAACAUAACUGAUGCUAAGGUGUGAAAGCGUGGGGAGCAAACAGGAUUAGAUACCCUAGUAGUCC